CUAUAUGACCUAGCCUUAGGUGCCACAGAUACUUAUCAUUUAGACUAUCUCUAGGCCUUUUAAUUCCUAUGGCAUUCAUAUUUUGCUCAAUAUUAAAUACAGAUACAUCAAUAUGUAGCUGAUAGAGACCGUUAAUAAGAAAACCAUCUACAACUUUAUUAUUUUCAUAAAAAAUAUUAUAAUGGUCCUUAUGAAAGCUAAUCACAUAGCC
RNAcentral lists this long non-coding RNA (211 nucleotides) under Elaeis guineensis (African oil palm). RNAcentral describes it as "long non-coding RNA (EGUI_LNC051190)". Lineage: Eukaryota; Viridiplantae; Streptophyta; Magnoliopsida; Arecales; Arecaceae. The record is from RNAcentral.